AUAUUGCGCAAUGGGGGAAACCCUGACGCAGCGAUGCCGCGUGAGUGAAGAAGGCCUUCGGGUCGUAAAGCUCUGUCAAGUGGGAAGAAUAGCGUGGAGACGAAUAAUCUCUGCGUAUGACGGUACCACUGAAGGAAGCACCGGCUAACUCCGUGCCAGCAGCCGCGGUAAGACGGAGGGUGCAAGCGUUAUUCGGAUUUAUUGGGCGUAAAGAGCGUGUAGGCGGCCGGUCAAGCCAGAUGUGAAAGCCCAGGGCUUAACCCUGGAAGUGCAUUUGGAACUGGCUGGCUUGAGUUCGGGAGAGGGAAGUGGAAUUCGGGGUGUAGAGGUGAAAUUCGUAGAUAUCCGGAGGAACACCGGUGGCGAAGGCGACUUCCUGGACCGAAACUGACGCUGAGACGCGAAAGCGUGGGGAGCAAACAGG
Molecule: ribosomal RNA, 424 nt
Filed under: uncultured bacterium
Lineage: Bacteria
Description: bacterial SSU rRNA
Rfam family: Bacterial small subunit ribosomal RNA
Source: RNAcentral